Molecule: transfer RNA, 63 nt
Filed under: Nipponoluciola cruciata (Japanese firefly)
Lineage: Eukaryota; Metazoa; Arthropoda; Insecta; Coleoptera; Lampyridae
Description: Luciola cruciata (Japanese firefly) tRNA-Glu
Source: RNAcentral
AUUUAUAUAGAUUAUAUAAAUCAUUACAUUUACAUUGUAAAAUUAAUCUAAGUUUUAUAAAUA